UAAGUCCUGAUGUGUUCGUUUUUGUACCUAUUCGUUUUGACCGAACAUAUUACCUACGGGAGUUUGGCGUUUUCAUGCCGCAUACAUGCCUUUUUAUAAAGGACGUAUAAAGCUGAAACAGAACACCCACCUGCCAAGUGCGGGUUCAAAACACUAGGAUUUUGCGACGGCAUGAUUGGGGCUUAU
Molecule: non-coding RNA, 186 nt
Filed under: Heyndrickxia sporothermodurans
Lineage: Bacteria; Bacillati; Bacillota; Bacilli; Caryophanales; Bacillaceae
Also listed under: 1 other name
Description: Bacillus sporothermodurans 6S / SsrS RNA
Rfam family: 6S / SsrS RNA
About the family: E. coli 6S RNA was the first non coding RNA to be sequenced, but its function was unknown until recently.
Source: Rfam by way of RNAcentral